ACGUAAAGGAGUUGCUCAGAAGGCCAGCCUCUCUCUGCUUAAGGUUAUUUCAGUGAAGGCUUGAACCAGGCAGAACAUUUUCCCUCAAGUUUUGGAAUCAUACAUCUGAAACACGUGAUGGAAACCCAGGCCCAUUAUCUGGUGAAUGGUUUUUCUGAUAAGAGAUGUAAAUGUUGGCUGAUAAAAGCUAAAUCAGAGGAAAGUUAUCUUGAAGAAAAAUGAAUAAUAACUUAACCAAAGAACUACUCUUAUAAGGUGAAUCCAGGCAAACAGAACAAGACAAAAAACAAACAGGCUGAGCACUCUCCCCUCCUUCCUUAACUGGAGCUACACAGAAGGAGUUGAGUGAUGGUAGAUAUCAGGCCCUGGUCUGCGGCUUGGAAGUUUCCUGUGAAUAAGAAAAACAUCAUCGCUUCUUGAGUCACAAGGAUGAUAGGAUGAGAAAAAGAAAGGACAAAGGCACCAGAGGAGGAACCAGACACUGGAACAUGUCGUCUGAUGUACAUCACACCAAGAAAUAAAAAAAGAAUUGGAAAGCCAAUGUCCAAUUAUUUACUAAAACAGAAUCCACUGGAGAGAAAUGCAAAGGCAGGUAAAAAGGCAAUCUCUUAACAUGAAAACUCACAACUGUAAAAUGAGAACCUAAACUAUACAGCGACAAACUCAGGAAAAAGUCUCCAGCUACUGCUGUCUCUCAGACUCUCACAGUAUGUGUAACCACUUCCUCCUCUGCACGGAAUCACCCCAGAAGAUCAACUCUACUAGAUCAUUUGAGGACAAUGAACAAAGUCUCAAGACUGAAUUCCCACAGAAAACAUUCUCAUGAAACCACCCAAUAUUCUGGUGAAGUUAAAGAAGGGCAUGUGUUCGGAGACAACCAGAAGCAGCAAUGCUCAAAACCACAAAACUCUGGAUUGCCGACUCUGCACAUCCUGGUUCCUCUAGAUACAGUUCAGUGGCACAUUCACAAAUAAACGUUUUCAAAAACUGCCCUCAGGCAGUUCUAGAGAAAUGCUUUGACUUGCCUAAUGGUAUAAUGUCAAGAAAGGAAGACGAGCACUGAUCAUUCAUACUCAUUAUUACAGUCACAGGGCACUGUCUGACUUGACAGAUACAGCCGAGCAGUUAAAAGGUUAUGGGAAUUUAAGUCCAUUAUGGUCAUACGAUUCUUAUGGACCCAGAGAUAUGAAAUUAAUCAGCCACAUGUGUAGGGACAAAGUUUGUCAUAAAUAGAUAUAAGUUAUCUGCAUGCUAAGAACUUAGUUACUUAACUCUGUUUCCUCAUGUUAAUAUAAACAUAAUUAUAGAAUGCAAAUGAAAUACUUAGCCUGGAGCCUAUUAUAUAGGAAGCACUCAAUAAUUUCAAACUAUUGAGUAUAUUAUUAGAUAGGCUCCAUAAUUAUUUAUUCCUUUUUCAACAGACAGUAUGAUCUAUUGAAAAUAAAGCCAAACUAGAUUUCUUUGACCCACUCCUUUUUCUGUUUGUAUUGUUGGCAAGUUGUUCUAAAUCAACUUGCCAACAUACUAUUAACAUGUUAUUAACAUAGAAGGGAUGCUUAUUUUGUUUGCUUUGUAAGAAAUGCUUCUGAUUCAGUAACUGGGCAAUUUAUUUAAAUAUAAGUAAAAAGCAGAUUUUAUUAAAAACUACUUUGUGCUAUCAUAAAUAACUCAUUGUUCUCUGUGAUUCAGAAGUGGAUUUAUUAUUCUUUUGGGGUUGGGGAAGGCACUGAGACUGGUUUCAGCACUGAUAUUUUGCUUUGGUCCACAGACAGUCCAAGUCUAAUGAGUUACUAAAGGAAAAUGACAUUUUACUGAACUGUUUUCUUCAUAAAUAUAACAGAAUGUAGGAAAAAUCAACAGUAAAACAGAUGUACCUAAAAUAUUAUUAUUCCUCAUGUAAGAAAACCAUCUUGAAA
Molecule: long non-coding RNA, 1916 nt
Filed under: Homo sapiens (human)
Lineage: Eukaryota; Metazoa; Chordata; Mammalia; Primates; Hominidae
Description: HSALNT0045434
Source: RNAcentral